GACGAACGCUGGCGGCGUGCUUAACACAUGCAAGUCGAACGGAAAGGCUCUGCUUUUGUGGGGUGCUCGAGCGGCGAACGGGUGAGUAACACGUGAGUAACCUGCCCUUGACUUUGGGAUAACUUCAGGAAACUGGGGCUAAUACCGGAUAGGAGCUCCUGCUGCAUGGUGGGGGUUGGAAAGUUUCGGCGGUUGGGGAUGGACUCGCGGCUUAUCAGCUUGUUGGUGGGGUAGUGGCUUACCAAGGCUUUGACGGGUAGCCGGCCUGAGAGGGUGACCGGCCACAUUGGGACUGAGAUACGGCCCAGACUCCUACGGGAGGCAGCAGUGGGGAAUAUUGCACAAUGGGCGGAAGCCUGAUGCAGCAACGCCGCGUGCGGGAUGACGGCCUUCGGGUUGUAAACCGCUUUCGCCUGUGACGAAGCGUGAGUGACGGUAAUGGGUAAAGAAGCACCGGCUAACUACGUG
Molecule: ribosomal RNA, 468 nt
Filed under: uncultured bacterium
Lineage: Bacteria
Description: partial 16S ribosomal RNA
Rfam family: Bacterial small subunit ribosomal RNA
Source: RNAcentral